GUGCUUGCUUCAGCAGCAGCACAUAUACUAAAAUUGAAAUGAUAUAGAAAAGAUUAGCAUGGAAUAAUACAGAGAAGAUUAGCAAGGAUGACAUGCAAAUACAUGAAGCAUCCAAUAUUUUU
Molecule: non-coding RNA, 122 nt
Organism: Myotis davidii
Lineage: Eukaryota; Metazoa; Chordata; Mammalia; Chiroptera; Vespertilionidae
Source: Rfam